Molecule: microRNA precursor, 104 nt
Filed under: Glycine max (soybean)
Lineage: Eukaryota; Viridiplantae; Streptophyta; Magnoliopsida; Fabales; Fabaceae
Description: miR9732 stem-loop (gma-MIR9732)
Source: miRBase by way of RNAcentral
UUCUUGAGAUUGCACACAAUAUCUUUGCCUUACUUUACAAUAUCUCUCCUUAAGGGGGUACUGUACGGGUUAAAAAGGCAAGGGUAUGAUGUGCAAUCUUAAGA